AUUGAACGCUGGCGGCGUGCCUAACACAUGCAAGUCGAGCGGCAGCGCGGGAGCAACCCUGGCGGCGAGCGGCGGACGGGUGAGUAAUGCUUGGGAAUCUGCCUGUUAGUGGGGGACAACCCGGGGAAACUCGGGCUAAUACCGCAUACGCACUACGGUGGAAAGCCGGGGACCGCAAGGCCUGGCGCUAACAGAUGAGCCCAAGUCGGAUUAGCUAGUUGGUAGGGUAACGGCCUACCAAGGCGACGAUCCGUAACUGGUCUGAGAGGACGACCAGUCACACCGGAACUGAGACACGGUCCGGACUCCUACGGGAGGCAGCAGUGGGGAAUAUUGGACAAUGGGGAAACCCUGAUCCAGCGACGCCGCGUGGGUGAAGAAGGCCUGCGGGUUGUAAAGCCCUUUCAGUGGGGGAAGAAAAGCCUCGACCUAACACGUCGGGGUCUUGACGUAACCCAUAGAAGAAGCACCGGCUAACUCUGU
RNAcentral lists this ribosomal RNA (483 nucleotides) under uncultured bacterium. Its description in RNAcentral is "bacterial SSU rRNA". It matches the Rfam family "Bacterial small subunit ribosomal RNA", at positions 29 to 506 of the family's 1533-position model. The record is from RNAcentral.